AGUUAAUUAGCUUAAAAAAGCUUAUGCCUUGAAAUCAUAAAUUAGAAGUUUAACCCUUCUAUUAACUU
RNAcentral lists this transfer RNA (68 nucleotides) under Aularches miliaris. RNAcentral's name for it is "tRNA-Ser". It matches the Rfam family "tRNA". From Rfam's summary of the family: Transfer RNA (tRNA) molecules are approximately 80 nucleotides in length. The record is from RNAcentral. Lineage: Eukaryota; Metazoa; Arthropoda; Insecta; Orthoptera; Pyrgomorphidae.